RNAcentral lists this ribosomal RNA (776 nucleotides) under uncultured Neocallimastigales. RNAcentral describes it as "partial large subunit ribosomal RNA". It matches the Rfam family "Eukaryotic large subunit ribosomal RNA", at positions 22 to 644 of the family's 3401-position model. Lineage: Eukaryota; Fungi; Neocallimastigomycota; Neocallimastigomycetes; Neocallimastigales. The record is from RNAcentral.
CUAUACAUGACUCUGCGCAUAUCAAUAAGCGGAGGAAAAGAAACUAACAAGGAUUCCCUUAGUAACGGCGAGUGAAGCGGGAAGAGCUCAAAUUUGAAAUCUUCAGGGUUCUACCUUGACGAAUUGUAGUUUAUAGAAGUGUUUUCUGUUAGUAGGAGUGGCAAAAGUUCUUUGGAAUAGGACAUCAUAGAGGGUGAGAAUCCCGUAUUUGGUCAUUCUUUCUAGCUUUGUGAUACACUUUCAACGAGUCGGAUUGUUUGGGAAUGCAGUCCAAAAUGGGUGGUAAAUUUCAUCUAAAGCUAAAUAUUGGCGAGAGACCGAUAGCGAACAAGUACCGUGAGGGAAAGAUGAAAAGAACUUUGAAAAGAGAGUUAAACAGUACGUGAAAUUGUCAAAAGGGAAGCGUUUGACACCAGUGUUGUUUUUCCGAAAAUCAAUUACGAAUGUUUUAGUUUUUGAGGAGUUAUGACUUCAUCGGCUUGCUUCUUUCUUUACGAAACUUUCUUAAUGCACUUUUCGGUUAACAAGUCAACAUCAAUUUCUUUUGUUGUAAAAGGGUAUGAGGAAGGUGGCUUUCUUUUCGGAGAAAGUGUUUAUAGCCUUGUACCUCUGCAAUCGGAGAGAUUGAGGUCUGCAGCGUAGAUCCUUCGGGGUUAGAUACAUUUGUGCUAAGUUAUAGCUUUUCAUAGACAACUUGUUGACUAUGUUUAGUCUUGUAGCUUACUCGCUUAUGCUAUUUUACCUACGCUUAGGAUGUUGAUAGUCACAGCGUGUAC